CGAGUAGGCGGCUUCCUAAGUCAGACGUGAAAUCCCCCGGCUUAACCUGGGAACUGCGUCUGAUACUGGGAGGCUAGAGUAUGGGAGAGGGAGGUAGAAUUCCAGGUGUAGCGGUGAAAUGCGUAGAUAUCUGGAGGAAUACCGGUGGCGAAGGCGGCCUCCUGGACCAUAACUGACGCUGAUCCGCGAAAGCUAGGGGAGCAAACGG
RNAcentral lists this ribosomal RNA (208 nucleotides) under uncultured bacterium. RNAcentral describes it as "partial 16S ribosomal RNA". It matches the Rfam family "Bacterial small subunit ribosomal RNA", at positions 568 to 775 of the family's 1533-position model. The record is from RNAcentral.